This 90-nucleotide transfer RNA is filed under the name bacterium. RNAcentral's name for it is "tRNA-Ser". It matches the Rfam family "tRNA". Rfam says of the family: Transfer RNA (tRNA) molecules are approximately 80 nucleotides in length. RNAcentral also lists the same sequence under 1 other name. The record is from RNAcentral.
GGAGACGUGGCCGAGUGGUCGAAGGCGGUUCCCUGCUAAGGAAUUAAACGUUAACGCGUUUCGAGGGUUCGAAUCCCUUCGUCUCCGCCA